RNA transcript from Vitis vinifera (wine grape), 2353 nucleotides. RefSeq lists it as uncharacterized. The record is from RefSeq and is a predicted model, not a curated record. Lineage: Eukaryota; Viridiplantae; Streptophyta; Magnoliopsida; Vitales; Vitaceae. The transcript has 11 exons.
AGAUCCACCUCUCAUCAUCCAAUAGUGUCUCUCUCCCUUUCUCUCCUACACCAUCUCCCCUCAUCUCCCCCAUGGCACCAUCUUCUCCCUCCGCCUGUCUCCUCCAAACCACCCAUCUCAGAACCUUCCUCAUAAUCUCUCUUCUGGUCUUUGUGCCCCCCAUUCAUGCGCUGAAACUCCCAAUUUGGCCGCGGGACAGACAGCUCUCAAGGCCGAUUCUCAACUCCCUCCACAGCGCAGUGGACCUUCUGCCCACUUUUGUGGGCUCUGUCUCCUCCAACGAGACUGUCGAGUGGACAGGAACGUGCUUUUACAAGACCAGUGCUUGGAUGGAGUUCAACAACAAAAGUGGGAGCGAAUUUGGUGGGGGCACACUUCAUAUUAAGGUUAGUAAUGCGCAUAGUUGGAAGUGUAUGGACCUUUAUGUCUUUGCAACUCCAUACCAAGUGACAUGGGAUUACUACUUUUUGUCUCGGGAGCAUACCGUUCAAUUUGAUGCAUGGGAAGAAAAAGCUGAGUUUGAAUACGUGAAAAACGAAGGGGUUUCAGUUUUUCUCAUGCACGCUGGGAUGCGGGGAACCCUUGAAGCUCUCUGGGAUGUCUUCCCAUUAUUCACAAAUACUGAAUGGGGUGAGAACGCAAACCUUGGGUUUCUCAAGAAGCAUAUGGGGGCUUCAUUUCAAACACGUCCUCAGCCAUGGGUUACAAACAUUAGUGUUGAUGACAUUCACUCUGGAGAUUUCCUUGCAAUAUCAAAAAUUCGUGGACGGUGGGGUGGUUUUGAGACUCUAGAGAAGUGGGUCACGGGAUCUUAUGCUGGUCAUUCCGCAGUUUGCUUAAGGGAUUCUGAAGGGAAGCUAUGGGUUGGUGAAUCAGGACAUAGAAAUGAAAAGGGAGAAGAUGUUAUUGUAACAUUACCAUGGGACGAAUGGUGGGAUGAUGCACUAACUCAAGAUGAUUCCAAUUCUCAUAUUGCGUUGCUUCCUUUGCAUCCUCACCUCCGAGCCAAGUUUAAUGAGACAGCUGCCUGGGAGUAUGCACGUAGCAUGGAAGGCAAACCUUAUGGUUACCAUAACAUGAUAUUUAGCUGGAUAGAUGCUCUGGAUGAAAACUAUCCACCCCCCUUAGAUGCUCAUGUGGUUGCUGCAGGUAUGACAGUUUGGAAUCAAAUGUGGCCUGCAUAUGCUGCUAACUUAUGGAAUGAGGCCUUGAACAAGAGGCUUGGAACUCAGAACCUUUCUCUUCCUGAGAUUCUAAUUGAAACUGAAACGCGUGGAUCGUCAUUUGCUGAAUUGCUGACAAUUCCUGAGCAGGAUGAUUGGGUUUACACUGAUGGAAAGUCAACAUCUUGUGUUGCUUUCAUUCUGGAAAUGUAUAAGGAGGCAGGAUUAUUUGGUCCAAUUGCUAGCUCUAUUCAAGGAACUGAGUUCACGAAUGACAUUCGCAAGAACCCUGCUUUCAGAUCACAGUUCCAUGAGAUGUGCGCUAAAGUAGGAGUAGACCCCUUGGCAUUGAAUAAAGGAUUUUGGGUAGAGCUAUUAGGAAUUGGUGACUUCUAUUAUGAACUUGGUGUGCAAAUUGUUGACAUAUGCUUAGCGACAAGAGUUCACAAUGGAGGUUUCAUUGACUUGCAGGAACUGUGCAAUUUGCUUUGCCAGAGACGUAAAAGUUGCUCAUGGAGCUGUAUCUGAGGAUGACUGCUUGCGUGCCAUAAGUAAGCUGAAGGUAUUGGGUAGUGGUUUUGAGGUGAUAUCUGUUGGAAAGCGAAAGCUUGUUAGGUCUGUCCCUACAGAGUUGAACAAAGACCAUAAUUCAAUUCUAGAGCUGGCUCAGGCUCAAGGCUUUGUUACUAUUGAAGAGGUGGAAGGACGGCUCUCCUGGCCCUCUGGGCGCGCCACUGAUGCCCUUGAAACUUUAUUGGACGAAGGUCUUGCAAUGAUUGAUAAUGGUCACAGAGAUGGCAAACGCCGGUACUGGUUUCCCUGUGCAUCUUCACUCUCUGCUGUAGGAGCUGAUAUUCUCAAGAUUUGAUUUUUCAGCACCAUGUUUUCUGCCCUGGGCAUUGUCUGGUAAAAGGGUGUGUAUGGGAUAGGUCUAGCAUUGGAAUCCAGUAUUUUUGUUUAUUUAUCAGGAAAAAAUGCAAAAAAAUAAAAAUAAAAACCCCAUUUGUGAUAUAGACAUUUGAUGUGGGGACCUGAAAGGAAAAAAAGGGUGUUUGUUCCACCCCACAACCCCGCUCCACCACUUUGUUUUCCUUGUUACUAAUGUUUCAUCUUUUUAAAGAUGUGAUUGUCAGAACACGAAGCAUCUCUCCACGGCUAUCAUCUGUUCCAACUAUAGUUAUUCCCUUCCA